This 177-nucleotide ribosomal RNA is filed under the name Triticum aestivum (bread wheat). RNAcentral describes it as "partial small subunit ribosomal RNA". Lineage: Eukaryota; Viridiplantae; Streptophyta; Magnoliopsida; Poales; Poaceae. The record is from RNAcentral.
AUGACCCUGUCGGUGGAACCGACGAGCUUGCCGCCGAUGAAGACGGCCGGGACGGCCGGCGUGCGGCCCAGGCGACGGGCGAGGUCGCGCUCCAUGUCACGGCCCCGGGGGUCCUUGUCCAGCUCGUGCACGGCCGCGCAAACGCCGAGGCCAGAGAAGAGGGUCGUCACUGUGUAG